Molecule: long non-coding RNA, 1612 nt
Filed under: Strigops habroptila (Kakapo)
Lineage: Eukaryota; Metazoa; Chordata; Aves; Psittaciformes; Psittacidae
Description: lncRNA (ENSSHBG00005018566.1)
Source: RNAcentral
GUCACUCACAGGUCUUUAAUACGUAAUGUUUAGGUUAUUAAUAAACUAACACAGGUCCGUUUUUUACAGGGAACAACUGCGAAUACAGCCAUAAAAAAAUUAGUACAAGUUGAACAUUUGCAAAGCUCUGGAGCACGGGCAGGGCCGGGCUGCUCUCGCCACCAACUUCCCCCGAGUUUCUCUCCCUUUGCAGGCCGGGGAGGGACGAGCAUUGCUGGGCAGGCAGAGGAGCUGGGACACGGUGGGGGUCCUGUUCCCAACCCGGCGCCUCACCCCCCGUGGGCCAGGGAUCCAGCGCUGGGAACACAGGAGUGGCCUGCAGUGGCACACAACGGAAUGCCACCUUGUUUGGUACCUGGGCACAGGCUGAGGCACUGCAGGGAAGAGAAGGGUGGGUGAGAGCCGAGGGGAUAUUCACCCCUGUGCUGGAUCAGGGAUCUGCUGCUCUGGAGCAGGGGUCCAUUCACUGACGUGUAGAGUUAUUUUGGGGGAAAUAAUCACAACAGAAAAGAUAGUAAGGAACCAGAAAACCUGGAGGGGAAAGAAGGAAAGAGAAGGAGAGAAGGAGAGAAGGAAAGAAGGAGAGAAGGAGAGAAGGAAAGAAGGAAAGAAGGAAGAGGACGAAAGAAAAAGGAAAGAAGAAGGAAAGAAGGAGAAUACAGGUGCCCUGCUGUGCCCAUGGCCUGGCUGGGCUGACAGGAUUAUGGGGGACACAAACUGGGAGGUUUUACAAGGUGGACCCUGAGAGUGUCGAGGGCUCGGGCUGGACUAAGGCACCGCUGAGCCUAAGAGUGGCUUUUGGGAGCUCGCCACCCCUGGAGCAGCUCCUGGGUGUGGGUGAACGUGACUGUGAGUGCAGAGUGAGCGCGAGCACAAGCGGGUGCUCAGGAUGAUGCUCUCCUUCUUCCCUUCUCCCUGCAAAUCCACCAGCUCCUCAGCAGAGCAACUCCGAAUUCCCAUUGCACGGCAGCACGUUGCGAGCCGGGGUGCUGUCCCACCCUGCCCCGGCUCGGGGACAGCCAGGGAACACUCUCCUCACUCCACCAUGUCCACAGCAAACCCCGUGUGUGCCAAGAGCCUCGGGGGUGUCCCGGGCCCGGCCGGGGGCACCGCCUGCAGAGCAGCUCCGCGUCCAUGCAUACUAAGCAAAGCAAGGAAUACAUAGAUUUUGCCUAUCUGCCGAUCAAACGCGGAGAUCUGCUCUGGUAAAUGAUGCAUUAGAUGCGGUGGCUGUAUUUGUUGUGUGAGUUUUGAAAGGGUUCCGAUAAUCUGGAAGCGAGAGAUAAGGAACACCAUUUAUUCAGCAGCACUUUGGAACCAAUUUUCAACCCUGUUCAACCCCAUUCUCCAGCAGCCUCCAGGAGCCCAGGAGAUAAGGAUUGGGCUAUUCAUUAUCUUCACAAGGAACAAAGAUUAGCUAGCAGAGAUGAAAAAUUACCCCUGGAUAGUAAUAAUAAGGAAGCGAACCUGGAGAGCUGCUGAGCCUAUAUUCUCCUUGCUGCUGGUGCUGCUUCUUCUCUUUUAAAUUCUCUCUUUUUUUUUUUGUUGAAUCAAUAUUGAAAAGGUUGGGGGUUUUUUUCUUUUUAAUUUUUUUCCUCCCUUUUUUUCGGGG